AGAGAGGUGGCCGAGCGGUCGAAGGCGCACGCCUGGAAAGUGUGUAUACGCCAAAAGCGUAUCGAGGGUUCGAAUCCCUUCCUCUCUGCAA
This 91-nucleotide transfer RNA is filed under the name Flavobacteriaceae bacterium. Its description in RNAcentral is "tRNA-Ser". It matches the Rfam family "tRNA". Rfam says of the family: Transfer RNA (tRNA) molecules are approximately 80 nucleotides in length. Their secondary structure includes four short double-helical elements and three loops (D, anti-codon, and T loops). The record is from RNAcentral. Lineage: Bacteria; Pseudomonadati; Bacteroidota; Flavobacteriia; Flavobacteriales; Flavobacteriaceae.